UCCCCGGUGGUCCAGUGGUUAGGACGGGGCGCUUUCACCUCUGCGGCCCAGGUUCGAUCCCUGGUCUGGGAA
This is a transfer RNA of Sus scrofa (pig), 72 nucleotides long. It matches the Rfam family "tRNA". Rfam says of the family: Transfer RNA (tRNA) molecules are approximately 80 nucleotides in length. Lineage: Eukaryota; Metazoa; Chordata; Mammalia; Artiodactyla; Suidae. The record is from Rfam.